CGGCUACGUGACCUUCAAAUAUUCCAGAAACCCAGUAUAUAACUGCACAGUACGACUUCUGACAAGCGGGCGCUUAAUUAAGAUAAUACAUAAUUUAAACCUUAAUUGCCACCUUUUAAACAAAGUAUUUUGGAGUCUCUAUGAUGUACACCGCCCACAGUUAACGACAUAAAUGCCCCAAUGAUCACUCUAGAAUUGUCUGCUGACGCUGAAAAGAAAACGGAUAAAAAGGAACAUUUCAUUCAAGAAAGCUUCAAUUGCUCUCAACAUUGCACUGCAAUCAUCUAGCAAGGCACUCUUGAACGACCAACUUUAAAACUGUACCCAUGCACACGAAAAUGAAUAGCAAACAUUUCUUUAUAACUGCUGUGUUACUUUUAGCGUUGAUAGGCAUGCCAUUGACUGUGAAAGGUUCGCCGGAGCAAGUGGCGUCGACAAGUAAUACAGAGAUUCGCAAUUUUGUCGAGAUUCCAUAUAACACACCCGAGUUAUUCAAGCGUGUUUGCGGCAUGCAUUCAUUCAAAUGUGGUCGACGGCGGUCAUCAGUUAUCAAGAAAAGAGGAUAUUCAAGAAGGAAACUUUAACUUAGACGCCAAGAGCGAAUUCAAGGAUUUUUGGACAAACGGAAAUGGCAUUAAAGACAUGGAUCACAUCAACGCUGCUGCAAUUAAGAUACAUCAAAGUCAAGCAAACGCAUAAAAAGAACCGGGAAGAUUGCAUACAUUAACAAUAAGAGGCCAGUAAACUAGACAAAUUUCUCCUUAAUUCUAUUAUAAUUUUUUAAUCUUAAUAUUAAAUAUUUUUGUGCAAUGUGCAAUGAAAGGUAAGGUGAGGUAAAGCAUUUAUCUAUACACGAUAAAGAUGUAACAGCAACGCUGAUGUGAUCGUGUCUAAAAAUUAUAUAACUAUCUAAAAUCCCAUCUACAAGGUAUUUACAAAAAAGAGAGCUAUUGAUUACAGAAAUAAUACGAUAAAAUAUAAAACUAAAAAACAAUAACUGAAAAAAGUUUAACUAUAUAUAAUAUUUAUAAAAUGUAAAAUCCACGCGGCAUUUUGCCAAAUGGUCUUUUAAAAGUAUGUAGUGAGCCAAUAUUUCUAACUUCAUUGUUAAGCUUGUUUGUUUCAAAGCUUGGCCUCAACAUAGGCAAAAAAAAUGAACUUCGUUAGUGUAUUGGUCUUAGAGCAUAGAAUAUUAAAACAGAACUUUUAUCUGAGAAUGUAACUCGUCUAACGUUUAACGAAUAAAUCAUGAAGAGGGGUAGGUGCAGCGCCAUAAAAACAGUUGUGUCCGAGAUAAAAACAAUAAGCACUGACAAUACGUAUUGGCCUAAGAGGCAACCAGUUUGCAGCGUUUAAAACUUGUUCCGUUGGUACACCUAUCCAGGUGAGUCUUCGCUGCUCUCGCAUGAAUCCGUUCAGUAUCGUCAAUAUCUGAAUGAGCUCCAAAUGAUUAGGCCGUAAUUUAUAGAUCGUAAAAUGGCCUUGUAAUAGAAAUCUAACCGAACGUUAAUCCGUAAAAAAAAUGAAAUGAUUUCAGAAGAUUUAGUUUCUGUAUUAAUGUCUUAUUGAAAUCUUAAACAUACUUGUUUCCUUUGAGGUCACUAUCAAUUUCUAAGCCUAAAAACCUAGUAGAGGCCACUUGUGAAAUAAUUGAGUGCAUUGCCGAAUCUGGGUUAGAUGAACAUAAAUUCGAUCUUUCUAGGAUGUGAGGUGAGCAUAUUAUUGCGGUACCAUCUGGUGACUCCACCAAGAAUUAAAUUGAAUUUGCUGGUAACCAUAUCAGGAGUACAUGUAAUCAGGGCGCAAGAACAGAGACUUUACAUUGUAAGAGCAAUAUAAACAUUUUCCCAUGUUUCCAUCGAUUUAUGUAUUUAAAAAAAACAAAAAACAAAAAAACAAAAAAACAAAAAGAAAAGAAAAGCAGCUUUUAGAAGGACUAUAGAAAGUGUAGAAAAAACUGCGGUUCCCACGAGCCAAGGUGCCCAUCAUGAAGCUCGGCGCUUAUCUCCGGUUUCUGUAGCAUGACGCGACUAAGAGUAUUUCUACUUCCCCCUUAGAUGGAUGCUCGUCUAUCGCAGGGACAACCCCCCGGACCCAUUUGUUACAGUCGAAGCUCUCUGAUACGGACUCCGAAGGGCAGAGCGAAGUGUCUCCAUAGAAAGGUGUCCGUAUUGGAGAGGACAGUAUGAUGACGUCACUUUUAAGUCUCCACUGACAGCUUGGAGUGUUUGCAUUUGUAAAUUUGAGUUUUGAAAACUAACAUUUUGACAUGUUCUGGUAUUGGUAUCGCUGAAUGAUAAAGUGUCAAUGUUUUAUAACCUCCGACAGGAAACGGUACAUUCCGCAAAUUAUCGACACCUGGUCCCUUGAGUGUCCGUAAUAAAGAGGUUAAAUUUGUAUGAAUUUGCUCCCCAGGGUCGAGAUUUAGUGUCCGUUGUCCGUUUUAGAGGCGUUUCUUUAGAGGAAAU
Molecule: long non-coding RNA, 2468 nt
Filed under: Orbicella faveolata
Lineage: Eukaryota; Metazoa; Cnidaria; Anthozoa; Scleractinia; Merulinidae
Description: uncharacterized LOC110046702
Source: RNAcentral